UACCUAGUUGGUGAGGUAAAGGCUUACCAAGGCGACGAUCUGUAGCGGGUCUGAGAGGAUGAUCCGCCACACUGGAACUGAGACACGGUCCAGACUCCUACGGGAGGCAGCAGUGGGGAAUUUUGGACAAUGGGGGCAACCCUGAUCCAGCCAUGCCGCGUGAGUGAAGAAGGCCUUCGGGUUGUAAGGCUCUCGGCCGGGAAGAAAUCGCAUGGGCCAAUACCCUGUGUGGAUGACGGUACCGGAAUAAGAAGCACCGGCUAACUACGUGCCAGCAGCCGCGGUAAUACGUAGGGUGCGAGCGUUAAUCGGAAUUACUGGGCGUAAAGCGUGCGCAGGCGGUUUUGUAAGACAGGCGUGAAAUCCCCGGGCUUAACCUGGGAACUGCGUUUGUGACUGCAAGGCUAGAGUACGGCAGAGGGGGGUGGAAUUCCACGUGUAGCAGUGAAAUGCGUAGAGAUGUGGAGGAACACCAAUGGCGAAGGCAGCCCCCUGGGUCGAUACUGACGCUCAUGCACGAAAGCGUGGGUAGCAAACAGGAUUAGAUACCCUGGUAGUCCACGCCCUAAACUAUGUCAACUAGGUGUUGGGUGGGUAAAACCAUUUAGUACCGUAGCUAACGCGUGAAGUUGACCGCCUGGGGAGUACGGCCGCAAGGUUAAAACUCAAAGGAAUUGACGGGGACCCGCACAAGCGGUGGAUGAUGUGGAUUAAUUCGAUGCAACGCGAAAAACCUUACCUACCCUUGACAUGCCAGGAACUUGCCAGAGAUGGCUUGGUGCCCGAAAGGGAGCCUGGACACAGGUGCUGCAUGGCUGUCGUCAGCUCGUGUCGUGAGAUGUUGGGUUAAGUCCCGCAACGAGCGCAACCCUUGUCGUUAAUUGCCAUCAUUUAGUUGGGCACUUUAACGAGACUGCCGGUGACAAACCGGAGGAAGGUGGGGAUGACGUCAAGUCCUCAUGGCCCUUAUGGGUAGGGCUUCACACGUCAUACAAUGGUCGGUACAAAGGGUUGCCAAGCCGCGAGGCGGAGCCAAUCCCAGAAAGCCGAUCGUAGUCCGGAUUGCAGGCUGCAACUCGCCUGCAUGAAGUCGGAAUCGCUAGUAAUCGUGGAUCAGCAUGUCACGGUGAAUACGUUCCCGGGUCUUGUACACACCGCCCGUCACACCAUGGGAGCGGGUUCCGCCAGAAGUAGGUAGCCUAACCGCAAGGGGGGCGCUUACCACGGCGGGGUUCGUGACUGGGGUGAAGUCGUAACAAGGUAGCCGUAGGGGAACCUGCGGCUG
Molecule: ribosomal RNA, 1285 nt
Filed under: metagenome
Description: bacterial SSU rRNA
Rfam family: Bacterial small subunit ribosomal RNA
Source: RNAcentral